GGUUAUUUAUAUGUGCCAUAAUAUAUUACAAAGAAAAUAUUAUUUAUUAUGAUAUUAAUGGAGAAAGACCACAAAAGAAUAUGGGAAAUAUCAAUGUACACAUGUUUUUUUCAACCUUACUAAUUAUUUGUUUUUUUGUGCUUUUUUCUGUUGAACACAAAGUCAAAAUAUGUGACUUCUUUCAUCUUCUCCCGUAGGUUCACAACUUUUCUCUGCCAAUAUCCACCUUCAGAUCAGUGAAAAAAAAUAUGCCUAAAAUUUGCUUCCGGGAUUAUCAGCUGAUGAACCCAUUGAAAAACAUGUUCCACCCAAUUACGAUAUACAUAAAAGUGAAAAACAAAGGAGCAGAGCUGCCUCUUCUAAAAAAAAUCAGAACAGACAACAGAGUAAGCCCAUGUUUCCAUAUUCAGCCGUAUACAAAUCAUGUUCUUUUGAAACGACAUACAAUCUCAUCUAUGAAGUAAAAAUUCUACCAAAACCUUUACCUCAUCUCAUCGAAAAUAAGGAAGAUCUGAAACCUCCGAGCUAAGAAUUGCAUAUUCUCCACUGAUUGAGAUCCAAAAAAAAACCUCCAAUCUUGGUCGCUAUAACAUGUGAUUCUUUCCUCCAUUUAAUACAGACUAAUAUGACUGAAAAAUCAUAGAGAAACCCAGUAACCCUUUGAAUCUUCAUCGUUGUUAGGUUUGAGAUAGUUUCACAUCUUAAUCGUCGCAGAGCCGGAUAUUCAAAUAUUUUAAAGAUCCUUCACAUAUAUUAUUUAAGAAUUGUUCACAUAAGUUUCUCGUUU
RNAcentral lists this long non-coding RNA (787 nucleotides) under Brassica rapa (field mustard). RNAcentral's name for it is "long non-coding RNA (BRAP_LNC003837)". The record is from RNAcentral. Lineage: Eukaryota; Viridiplantae; Streptophyta; Magnoliopsida; Brassicales; Brassicaceae.